Molecule: ribosomal RNA, 396 nt
Filed under: Babesia ovis
Lineage: Eukaryota; Apicomplexa; Aconoidasida; Piroplasmida; Babesiidae
Description: SSU rRNA
Rfam family: Eukaryotic small subunit ribosomal RNA
Source: RNAcentral
ACCAGGUCCAGACAGAGGAAGGAUUGACAGAUUGAUUGCUCUUUCUUGAUUCUUUGGGUAGUGGUGCAUGGCCGUUCUUAGUUGGUGGAGUGAUUUGUCUGGUUAAUUCCGUUAACGAACGAGACCUUAACCUGCUAUUUAGCCGGCGCUACGCGGUUCCGCCGCGCUUCUUAGAGGGACUCCGCGGCUUCAAGUCGCGGGGAGGUUUAAGGCAAUAACAGGUCUGUGAUGCCCUUAGAUGUCCUGGGCUGCACGCGCGCUACACUGAUGCAUGCAUCGAGUUGACCCCGCUCCGAAAGGCGCGGGUAACCAGCAGUCUGCAUCGUGUCGGGGAUUGAUUUUUGCAAUUCUGAAUCAUGAACGAGGAAUGCCUAGUAUGCGCAAGUCAUCAGCUUG